RNAcentral lists this unclassified non-coding RNA (237 nucleotides) under Hevea brasiliensis (rubber tree). The record is from RNAcentral. Lineage: Eukaryota; Viridiplantae; Streptophyta; Magnoliopsida; Malpighiales; Euphorbiaceae.
UAAGUGAGGUUGUAAAGUCCACUUCUUUUCCUAAACUCGCAACUAUUCUAAGAAUGAGAAAAGAGAAGUCUGGUCACGAAAUGCAGAGGCUUAAAACAUUUUAGUGCCUUCCUUUUUUUUUUUAAGUCGGUUAUGCCUACCUGUUUCAAUCUCCUCAACUUUGCUGUCUUUUAUCUAAAGAAUUAUUUCUUCUGCAUUUGCAGUUGGUGAUUGGGCUAAUAGUUAGAUCUGUCCGGG